UACAGUAUAAAGAUAUAAAGUGCGAUAACUUUUUUUUUGUUUCUGUUAUAAUUACCUGUGUUCUUUGUAUGAUCAAAUAACUGAAGCAAUUUUUGUAAUUUGUUCCAGAAUUUUUGAACUCUGAGAGAUAUUUCAGGAAACAAUUGGUGGAGAUACGCAGAACCGUCACUAUGAAGUUCCGAUUAACUGAUCUCAAAUUGGUGAAGAGUCGCCUGAAAUGGAGUCUCAUCUAAGAUGCCGUGGCCGCACCGGCUGGGGCUUCUCGCCUUCCUCCCACCGACUGCCCAGUGUGACCGCCGCUCACUCUUAUUCGCCCCUGCAGUGUCCUGCCGUUUCUUAGCGCCAAUUUAUCAUUCCUAUCGAAUUGUGGAGUAUGAAGAAAAUCUAAAAAUGAGACACAUUUGACAGCGGGCAAGCAUAGACACAAUGAUCUCAAAAGUUAUUCUAAUCUGCUGUUCAUUUAUGGUUUACUGACGUUUCCUGAUAAUGGCAUAUUGAGCAUAUUCAUUGUCCUUUCUUGUUGAGAUUUAUAACUGAACUGCGAAACAAAGUGUUCACAUUCACGUGAUAAGACGGAAGGCCAGAGAAAGACCUGUAACUAAUACACAAGACCAGAGAUAGAGAACCACUCACAUUUUAGCACGGAGUUGAAUGAUGGAUGUAUCAGGAAAUUUCCAUGGGGAGAUUAUAACAAGCAGGAUUUUUAGACUUCAUAAUGACGCCGGACUAACGAGGAAAACUAGUCUCAGCAGAUUUCAGCAAUAAGCAACUCAAAAACUUCGGCUUGUUCUACGACAAUUUUGAGAGCUUGAAUGAAAACAAAGAGUCCAAGCAAAAGACGGACAAUGGGAGAAAAAACUCAGGGGCAGGGAGCAAUGAGAAAGAAA
RNAcentral lists this long non-coding RNA (887 nucleotides) under Bemisia tabaci. RNAcentral's name for it is "lncRNA ENSSSA1NGG006759". Lineage: Eukaryota; Metazoa; Arthropoda; Insecta; Hemiptera; Aleyrodidae. The record is from RNAcentral.